Long non-coding RNA from Pteropus alecto (black flying fox), 345 nucleotides. RefSeq lists it as uncharacterized. The record is from RefSeq and is a predicted model, not a curated record. Lineage: Eukaryota; Metazoa; Chordata; Mammalia; Chiroptera; Pteropodidae. The transcript has 3 exons.
AUCAGACAGUAUUUGUCUUUCUCUGUCUGACUGAUUUCACUUAGCACAAUGCCCUCAAGUUUCACUUGUGUUGUCAGAAAUGAAGUGGAAAUGGACUUUCAUCAAAUUAGUUUCUCUGCCUCAAACAAGUAGCGAAGAGCUGGAAUGCUACAUGGCUUGUGCAAGGCCUGACAGUCUGGUGAAGGAGAGCAUGCCUUGAACAAGCUGCUGUCCUAAGGAAAAUGAGAGACGUGUGAAGCAGAGAUGAACUGAACCUACAACCUGGAGCCAAGUCCAGUCAAGAUCAGCCAGACUGUAGUGGACCCUAGGGUGCAUGAGUAAGAAAUAAAUACCUGUUUCUUUAUA